AGGGCACCACCAGGAGUGGAGCCUGCGGCUUAAUUUGACUCAACACGGGAAAACUCACCCGGCCCGGACACUGGAAGGAUUGACAGAUUGAGAGCUCUUUCUUGAUUCAGUGGGUGGUGGUGCAUGGCCGUUCUUAGUUGGUGGAGUGAUUUGUCUGGUUAAUUCCGAUAACGAACGAGACUCUAGCCUAUUAAAUAGAUCGUUGGCUUACAAACGCCGGCGAGACUUCUUAGAGGGACAGGCGGCGAUUCAGCCGCACGAAACAGAGCAAUAACAGGUCUGUGAUGCCCUUAGAUGUCCGGGGCCGCACGCGCGCUACACUGAAGUGAUCAGCGUGCAUUUUGAAACCUACUCUGUCAAGAGUGGGGAACCCAAUGAACCUUCUUCGUGAUUGGGAUAGGGGGUUGUAAUUAUUCCCCUUGAACGAGGAAUUCCCAGUAAGCGCGAAUCAUAAGUUUGCGCUGAUUACGUCCCUGCCCUUUGUACACACCGCCCGUCGCUACUACCGAUUGAAUGUUU
Molecule: ribosomal RNA, 519 nt
Filed under: uncultured eukaryote
Lineage: Eukaryota
Description: SSU rRNA
Rfam family: Eukaryotic small subunit ribosomal RNA
Source: RNAcentral